This 434-nucleotide unclassified non-coding RNA is filed under the name soil metagenome. RNAcentral describes it as "partial contains 5.8S ribosomal RNA, internal transcribed spacer 2, and large subunit ribosomal RNA". The stretch from base 1 to 120 matches the Rfam family "5.8S ribosomal RNA", at positions 35 to 154 of the family's 154-position model. The record is from RNAcentral.
GAUGAAGAACGCAGCGAAAUGCGAUACGUAAUGUGAAUUGCAGAAUUCAGUGAAUCAUCGAAUCUUUGAACGCAUAUUGCGCUCUUUGGUAUUCCGAAGAGCAUGCUUGUUUGAGUAUCAGUAAACACCUCAAAGCUUUUGGAUUUUUUAAUCGAAAAGCUUUGGACUUGAGCAAUCCCAACACCAAUCUUUUUGAGAUCGGUGGCGGGUUGCUUGAAAUGCAGGUGCAGCUGGACAUGCACCUGAGCUAAAAGCAUAUUCAUUUAGUCCCGUCAAACGGAUUAUUACUUUUGCUGCAGCUAACAUAAAGGGAGUUUGACCGUAUUGGCUGACUGAUGCAGGAUUUCACAAGGGUCGGCAACGAUUCUUGUUAAACUCGAUCUCAAAUCAAGUAAGACUACCCGCUGAACUUAAGCAUAUCAAUAAGCGGAGGA